UGAAUCUCUCUGGCCCCUGGACUGUGCCCUGAAACACAGCUUAAAACAGCAGAAUGAACAGUAAUCCCAGAGAUCCUGAGAUGAGAAAAGGGUGUUUGACUUAUUCAAAGAAGACCAAGGAAGCCCAAAGACCAGAGAAGAGUGCAGGAAAGGGGCGGCGGUCUGAGAUGCAGUCAGAGCAGUGGCAAGCCCCCAGAGUCUGUGGCAAAGACUUCAGGUUUCAUCCUGAAGAGGAAGACAGGUCUUUGGAGAGUUUUGAUCAAGGAAGUGAGAUGAAAUAUCUUAGGCUUACAAAGAACUACUCUGACAUCUAAAUGGAAAAUGGACUGAUGAAGCAAAAGAAGCCACAAGGAAGCCAGUUCAGAGGCUAUUGAAAUGCUCCAGAUACUCAGAGAGUGAGAGCCUUCAGAUUUGGGCCGCUGUGGUUCGUCUUCUGCCUGGGAACUGGAUAAAAACAUCAGUGAAUACCCCAAAGAUUUUCAAAAAUGCUUGUUGAUAAAAUGAAGUCAGAAUGUGAGAUGAGCCCUUCCACCUGAGUGAUGUUGGUCUUGGCUGUGUGAUUUGCUUUGGCUGAUGAUAAGUUGAUGGAAGUGAUAGUAAGACAAUGCUGAGCCUCAUCCUCGGAAGUAUCUCUGCCUUCACCUGGCUUUGUGCACCACUGCCCUGGCUUUGAGAAGAACAUGAGCCCAGUAAAUUGUUAGUCCAGGAAGAAUGAGAGAGAAAGUCCUGAGGCAGAGAAGUGGAGAGAAGUUGCUGCUUGAGCUUGAGAAAGAAUGGUGGCAGAGUACAUGCAUGGAAGUGCUACCAUAGCUGCUCUGAAAUCAGAGGAAAGUGGAAUUAUAAGAAGACCCCAUCUGACAAGGCUCAUAAAGGAGAGCAACUCUUAUGGAAUACAUCCAAGAUAUAUACGUCUUUGAAGAAAGACAUCACUCAACUGUGAAAGAUCACCAUGACCCCUGCUUUAAUUUCAUCAAAAAACUUAGUCCAUCAGCUCAGUUACCCUUUAGCCUUGCAUGGGAAUUGACUCAGAGCUUCUGCAAGAUCAGGGUGAAUAUGAAUUGUUU
Molecule: long non-coding RNA, 1064 nt
Filed under: Homo sapiens (human)
Lineage: Eukaryota; Metazoa; Chordata; Mammalia; Primates; Hominidae
Description: non-protein coding lnc-MEP1B-1:4
Source: RNAcentral